Molecule: long non-coding RNA, 440 nt
Organism: Trematomus bernacchii (emerald rockcod)
Lineage: Eukaryota; Metazoa; Chordata; Actinopteri; Perciformes; Nototheniidae
Exons: 2
Source: RefSeq, a predicted model, not a curated record
GUCAACUUGGAGAAUCCACAGGAGAGCAAAGGGUUAAAAAGUCGGGCUGAUUGACAGAGUGGCAGCUGUCUGAAAUCAGUCCCUAAUUGCUAAUCAGCGUCGCUGCAGCUUUAAAAGCACCACACCUGAAAGGAGGGCGGUAAUUCAAAGCUGGAGAGGGACAAACUAAAAAGCGUGCGUCCAGCAGCAGCAACAAACCAGCAGAAGAAAACUACAAAGAAGCAGCACUGGUGCAGCCAUAAAAAGCUGGAGAGGCGGCCGGUUUUUCACCUUACAACCUUACGCUGUACUGCAAACAACAAAAACUAAAGUAAAGAAGAACUCAAAAGAAAACAAAGUUGUGGUCAUUGUAUGAGUGAAACCCAGUGAAAACCUCCUAUAUGGACUGUACCAUCCCUUUCAAGCGGGGAAACUGCAAAAAUACCCAAGGGCUUGACAGU